GGGAACGUAGCUCAGCCUGGGAGAGCACACGGCUGAAGACCGUGGUGUCCGGGGUUCAAAGGUUUGGCGACGAAGGAGGCAAACGCUUCGGCGUCAGCUGAAAUUCCCCGCGUUCCCA
This 118-nucleotide transfer RNA is filed under the name Candidatus Woesearchaeota archaeon. Its description in RNAcentral is "tRNA-Phe". Lineage: Archaea; Nanobdellati; Candidatus Woesearchaeota. The record is from RNAcentral.